GUAGGUGGCAAGCGUUGUCCGGAAUUAUUGGGCGUAAAGCGCGCGCAGGCGGUUCUUUAAGUCUGAUGUGAAAGCCCACGGCUCAACCGUGGAGGGUCAUUGGAAACUGGAGAACUUGAGUACAGAAGAGGUAAGCGGAAUUCCACGUGUAGCGGUGAAAUGCGUAGAGAUGUGGAGGAACACCAGUGGCGAAGGCGGCUUUCUGGUCUGUAACUGACGCUGAGGCGCGAAAGCGUGGGGAGCAAACAGGAUUAGAUACCCUGGUAGUCCACGCCGUAAACGAUGAGUGCUAAGUGUUAGGGGGUUUCCGCCCCCCUUAGUGCUGCAGCUAACGCAUUAAGCACUCCGCCUGGGAGUACGGCCGCAAGGCUG
Molecule: ribosomal RNA, 372 nt
Filed under: uncultured organism
Description: partial 16S ribosomal RNA
Rfam family: Bacterial small subunit ribosomal RNA
Source: RNAcentral